GCUGACGAGUGGCGGACGGGUGAGUAAUGUCUGGGAAACUGCCUGAUGGAGGGGGAUAACUACUGGAAACGGUGGCUAAUACCGCAUAACGUCGCAAGACCAAAGAGGGGGACCUUCGGGCCUCUUGCCAUCAGAUGUGCCCAGAUGGGAUUAGCUUGUUGGUGAGGUAACGGCUCACCAAGGCGACGAUCCCUAGCUGGUCUGAGAGGAUGACCAGCCACACUGGAACUGAGACACGGUCCAGACUCCUACGGGAGGCAGCAGUGGGGAAUAUUGCACAAUGGGCGCAAGCCUGAUGCAGCCAUGCCGCGUGUAUGAAGAAGGCCUUCGGGUUGUAAAGUACUUUCAGCGGGGAGGAAGGUGUUGUGGUUAAUAACC
This 378-nucleotide ribosomal RNA is filed under the name Salmonella enterica subsp. enterica serovar Infantis. RNAcentral describes it as "bacterial SSU rRNA". It matches the Rfam family "Bacterial small subunit ribosomal RNA", at positions 87 to 468 of the family's 1533-position model. The record is from RNAcentral. Lineage: Bacteria; Pseudomonadati; Pseudomonadota; Gammaproteobacteria; Enterobacterales; Enterobacteriaceae. RNAcentral also lists the same sequence under 8 other names.